AAGUGGUGGGGAUUGAUCACAGCUUUCUCGAAGUACAUUUAUAUCGUGAUAUCGUGGACAUACGUAUACAUACGUAUACCCUUUUAAAGGACACAAGGAAAUCGAUUAACUUAUACACAAAUACACAAAAUGCCUUACUGUUGUGUAAUGAAAUGUUCCAACUCGUGGAAAACGGGACAUUCACACAAUGCAUCGCCUACCAAGAAAUAUUGAAAGAAAACAAUAUUGGCUUGCAAAUAUAGAAAGAAAUAAUAUAGAUGUUACAAAAGACUGGUUUGUAUGCGAGGUACAUUUCUCACCUGAAAUGUGGGAAAAACCACGAAUAGAUGGGAAAAAGAAAUUAAAAUAUAAUGCAAUACCUACCA
Long non-coding RNA from Trachymyrmex cornetzi, 365 nucleotides. RefSeq lists it as uncharacterized. The record is from RefSeq and is a predicted model, not a curated record. The transcript has 3 exons. NCBI's taxonomy places the organism in Eukaryota, Metazoa, Arthropoda, Insecta, Hymenoptera, Formicidae.